RNAcentral lists this ribosomal RNA (2901 nucleotides) under Escherichia coli. Its description in RNAcentral is "bacterial LSU rRNA". It matches the Rfam family "Bacterial large subunit ribosomal RNA". Lineage: Bacteria; Pseudomonadati; Pseudomonadota; Gammaproteobacteria; Enterobacterales; Enterobacteriaceae. The record is from RNAcentral.
UUAAGCGACUAAGCGUACACGGUGGAUGCCCUGGCAGUCAGAGGCGAUGAAGGACGUGCUAAUCUGCGAUAAGCGUCGGUAAGGUGAUAUGAACCGUUAUAACCGGCGAUUUCCGAAUGGGGAAACCCAGUGUGAUUCGUCACACUAUCAUUAACUGAAUCCAUAGGUUAAUGAGGCGAACCGGGGGAACUGAAACAUCUAAGUACCCCGAGGAAAAGAAAUCAACCGAGAUUCCCCCAGUAGCGGCGAGCGAACGGGGAGGAGCCCAGAGCCUGAAUCAGUGUGUGUGUUAGUGGAAGCGUCUGGAAAGGCGCGCGAUACAGGGUGACAGCCCCGUACACAAAAAUGCACAUGCUGUGAGCUCGAUGAGUAGGGCGGGACACGUGGUAUCCUGUCUGAAUAUGGGGGGACCAUCCUCCAAGGCUAAAUACUCCUGACUGACCGAUAGUGAACCAGUACCGUGAGGGAAAGGCGAAAAGAACCCCGGCGAGGGGAGUGAAAAAGAACCUGAAACCGUGUACGUACAAGCAGUGGGAGCCUCUUUAUGGGGUGACUGCGUACCUUUUGUAUAAUGGGUCAGCGACUUAUAUUCUGUAGCAAGGUUAACCGAAUAGGGGAGCCGAAGGGAAACCGAGUCUUAACUGGGCGUUAAGUUGCAGGGUAUAGACCCGAAACCCGGUGAUCUAGCCAUGGGCAGGUUGAAGGUUGGGUAACACUAACUGGAGGACCGAACCGACUAAUGUUGAAAAAUUAGCGGAUGACUUGUGGCUGGGGGUGAAAGGCCAAUCAAACCGGGAGAUAGCUGGUUCUCCCCGAAAGCUAUUUAGGUAGCGCCUCGUGAACUCAUCUCCGGGGGUAGAGCACUGUUUCGGCAAGGGGGUCAUCCCGACUUACCAACCCGAUGCAAACUGCGAAUACCGGAGAAUGUUAUCACGGGAGACACACGGCGGGUGCUAACGUCCGUCGUGAAGAGGGAAACAACCCAGACCGCCAGCUAAGGUCCCAAAGUCAUGGUUAAGUGGGAAACGAUGUGGGAAGGCCCAGACAGCCAGGAUGUUGGCUUAGAAGCAGCCAUCAUUUAAAGAAAGCGUAAUAGCUCACUGGUCGAGUCGGCCUGCGCGGAAGAUGUAACGGGGCUAAACCAUGCACCGAAGCUGCGGCAGCGACGCUUAUGCGUUGUUGGGUAGGGGAGCGUUCUGUAAGCCUGUGAAGGUGUGCUGUGAGGCAUGCUGGAGGUAUCAGAAGUGCGAAUGCUGACAUAAGUAACGAUAAAGCGGGUGAAAAGCCCGCUCGCCGGAAGACCAAGGGUUCCUGUCCAACGUUAAUCGGGGCAGGGUGAGUCGACCCCUAAGGCGAGGCCGAAAGGCGUAGUCGAUGGGAAACAGGUUAAUAUUCCUGUACUUGGUGUUACUGCGAAGGGGGGACGGAGAAGGCUAUGUUGGCCGGGCGACGGUUGUCCCGGUUUAAGCGUGUAGGCUGGUUUUCCAGGCAAAUCCGGAAAAUCAAGGCUGAGGCGUGAUGACGAGGCACUACGGUGCUGAAGCAACAAAUGCCCUGCUUCCAGGAAAAGCCUCUAAGCAUCAGGUAACAUCAAAUCGUACCCCAAACCGACACAGGUGGUCAGGUAGAGAAUACCAAGGCGCUUGAGAGAACUCGGGUGAAGGAACUAGGCAAAAUGGUGCCGUAACUUCGGGAGAAGGCACGCUGAUAUGUAGGUGAAGCGACUUGCUCGUGGAGCUGAAAUCAGUCGAAGAUACCAGCUGGCUGCAACUGUUUAUUAAAAACACAGCACUGUGCAAACACGAAAGUGGACGUAUACGGUGUGACGCCUGCCCGGUGCCGGAAGGUUAAUUGAUGGGGUCAGCGCAAGCGAAGCUCUUGAUCGAAGCCCCGGUAAACGGCGGCCGUAACUAUAACGGUCCUAAGGUAGCGAAAUUCCUUGUCGGGUAAGUUCCGACCUGCACGAAUGGCGUAAUGAUGGCCAGGCUGUCUCCACCCGAGACUCAGUGAAAUUGAACUCGCUGUGAAGAUGCAGUGUACCCGCGGCAAGACGGAAAGACCCCGUGAACCUUUACUAUAGCUUGACACUGAACAUUGAGCCUUGAUGUGUAGGAUAGGUGGGAGGCUUUGAAGUGUGGACGCCAGUCUGCAUGGAGCCGACCUUGAAAUACCACCCUUUAAUGUUUGAUGUUCUAACGUUGACCCGUAAUCCGGGUUGCGGACAGUGUCUGGUGGGUAGUUUGACUGGGGCGGUCUCCUCCUAAAGAGUAACGGAGGAGCACGAAGGUUGGCUAAUCCUGGUCGGACAUCAGGAGGUUAGUGCAAUGGCAUAAGCCAGCUUGACUGCGAGCGUGACGGCGCGAGCAGGUGCGAAAGCAGGUCAUAGUGAUCCGGUGGUUCUGAAUGGAAGGGCCAUCGCUCAACGGAUAAAAGGUACUCCGGGGAUAACAGGCUGAUACCGCCCAAGAGUUCAUAUCGACGGCGGUGUUUGGCACCUCGAUGUCGGCUCAUCACAUCCUGGGGCUGAAGUAGGUCCCAAGGGUAUGGCUGUUCGCCAUUUAAAGUGGUACGCGAGCUGGGUUUAGAACGUCGUGAGACAGUUCGGUCCCUAUCUGCCGUGGGCGCUGGAGAACUGAGGGGGGCUGCUCCUAGUACGAGAGGACCGGAGUGGACGCAUCACUGGUGUUCGGGUUGUCAUGCCAAUGGCACUGCCCGGUAGCUAAAUGCGGAAGAGAUAAGUGCUGAAAGCAUCUAAGCACGAAACUUGCCCCGAGAUGAGUUCUCCCUGACUCCUUGAGAGUCCUGAAGGAACGUUGAAGACGACGACGUUGAUAGGCCGGGUGUGUAAGCGCAGCGAUGCGUUGAGCUAACCGGUACUAAUGAACCGUGAGGCUUAACCUU